GCGAAUAAGUAGAAGCGCCCGCUUCUCACCUUUCGCCAUAGGGCAGAAAGGUUUCUUCUUGAAAGUCAAAAGUAAUAUGGGCGAAGAAGCGGGUGGAUUAUCCGCUUUUAUUUUUUGAU
Molecule: regulatory RNA element, 119 nt
Rfam family: Ribosomal protein L20 leader
About the family: This family is a putative r-protein leader autoregulatory structure found in B. subtilis and other low-GC Gram-positive bacteria.
Source: Rfam